Hippocampus zosterae (dwarf seahorse) is the source of this 754-nucleotide long non-coding RNA. RefSeq lists it as uncharacterized. Lineage: Eukaryota; Metazoa; Chordata; Actinopteri; Syngnathiformes; Syngnathidae. The record is from RefSeq and is a predicted model, not a curated record. The transcript is spliced from 2 exons.
GCUUGUAGUGAAGGCUUCCUUGUUUAACAAAUGUAGCACUGUCACUUUAAGAGCCACACUAGAUCAAAACACGCGGGAACAUAUGCAGCGUGUGAGAAUCAGACCAGAAAGGGUGACAUGCACGUAAAGGAGGGUAGUCGCUGAACUGUGCCCACUGCUUGUCCCAACUUGAUACACCCAUGAUCGUCCUCGUAACCCUGGCGAUAUUCAGAGCACAAUAUCUGGAGUGGUUUGGGUUGGAGUUUGAAAUCUACCACUAGUGAGUCGUGUGAACAGCUGUACAGCGUAAGUGUUCGCAAUGUUAUAAGAUGUAAAUAUGUUUUUUACUGUAAAUUAUAUGAACUGUGUUAUCUGUUCUUUAGAGGGGAGAUCAUUUGUGUUUGACCACGUGCUUUGUACACACCCAACACACCGGAACAUAUCGAGUAAGUGUGGCUGCAUCUCAAAACAGUUGUAAUGAUUAUUUGUUCUGCACUAAGAAGUAUUGUGGCUUGUAAAUAAUGUAUUUUUAUUUCUGUUUUCCUAUUAAGCAAGCCACUGCUGUUGUCUAUUGUGGCGUAAUUGUCUGUAAUCUGUUAAAUGAUUUUCUUUGAUCUCUUAGAUCCCUUUUCGACCUCUUUUAAAAUUCAGUUAACAUCUCAGUCUUUCAUCUUAAUGCUGAACAAUUUUUCAUUGUUCAGUCGGGAAUAAAGCCCACCUAAAAAUUAUUUUGUGUCCAGUCCAGUCUUUCCAAAGACCCGGCUACAAAAGUAAA